GAUGGCAGGCCCAUCGGAACCGCUAUAUAGGUGGAGGUUUCAAAUCACUCUGAGGUGCUGUAGUCAAAAGCUAUGGUACUGAGCGUCAGAGAAAAGGCUGUACAAAACAGUCAGGU
Ruminococcus sp. CAG:9 is the source of this 116-nucleotide non-coding RNA. Lineage: Bacteria; Bacillati; Bacillota; Clostridia; Eubacteriales; Oscillospiraceae. The record is from Rfam.